CUCAGGACGAACGCUGGCGGCGUGCCUAAUACAUGCAAGUCGAACGCUUCUUUUUCCACCGGAGCUUGCUCCACCGGAAAAAGAAGAGUGGCGAACGGGUGAGUAACACGUGGGUAACCUGCCCAUCAGAAGGGGAUAACACUUGGAAACAGGUGCUAAUACCGUAUAACAAUCAAAACCGCAUGGUUUUGAUUUGAAAGGCGCUUUCGGGUGUCGCUGAUGGAUGGACCCGCGGUGCAUUAGCUAGUUGGUGAGGUAACGGCUCACCAAGGCCACGAUGCAUAGCCGACCUGAGAGGGUGAUCGGCCACAUUGGGACUGAGACACGGCCCAAACUCCUACGGGAGGCAGCAGUAGGGAAUCUUCGGCAAUGGACGAAAGUCUGACCGAGCAACGCCGCGUGAGUGAAGAAGGUUUUCGGAUCGUAAAACUCUGUUGUUAGAGAAGAACAAGGAUGAGAGUAACUGUUCAUCCCUUGACGGUAUCUAACCAGAAAGCCACGGCUAACUACGUGCCAGCAGCCGCGGUAAUACGUAGGUGGCAAGCGUUGUCCGGAUUUAUUGGGCGUAAAGCGAGCGCAGGCGGUUUCUUAAGUCUGAUGUGAAAGCCCCCGGCUCAACCGGGGAGGGUCAUUGGAAACUGGGAGACUUGAGUGCAGAAGAGGAGAGUGGAAUUCCAUGUGUAGCGGUGAAAUGCGUAGAUAUAUGGAGGAACACCAGUGGCGAAGGCGGCUCUCUGGUCUGUAACUGACGCUGAGGCUCGAAAGCGUGGGGAGCAAACAGGAUUAG
This 787-nucleotide ribosomal RNA is filed under the name Enterococcus faecium. RNAcentral's name for it is "bacterial SSU rRNA". It matches the Rfam family "Bacterial small subunit ribosomal RNA", at positions 23 to 781 of the family's 1533-position model. Lineage: Bacteria; Bacillati; Bacillota; Bacilli; Lactobacillales; Enterococcaceae. The record is from RNAcentral.